GACACAGAGCAGGGGGCUUUCAGCUGAUUCGAUUGUAUGCUUGCCUUUUGUAACAAACAAGACAGGAAAUAGUCAAACUGGAAGCAACGAUUCGUGUGUCAUCUGCCGUGUAGACUACGAGGAUGGUGACUCCUUAACGUCACUUUCUUGCAAGCAUUCAUAUCAUCUCGAGUGCAUAAAUAAUUGGUUGAAAAUAAACAAGGUCUGCCCUGUUUUUAAUGCUGAGGUCUCAACUUGAAGGCAAAGCUAGUAUUUUUCGGACAGAG
Hibiscus syriacus is the source of this 266-nucleotide long non-coding RNA. RefSeq lists it as uncharacterized. The transcript is spliced from 3 exons. NCBI's taxonomy places the organism in Eukaryota, Viridiplantae, Streptophyta, Magnoliopsida, Malvales, Malvaceae. The record is from RefSeq and is a predicted model, not a curated record.